GCCUGGUUGGCUUAUCUGUAGAGCAUGUGACUCUUGAUCUCAGGGUCAUGAGUUCAAGCCCCAUGUUGGGCA
This 72-nucleotide transfer RNA is filed under the name Ailuropoda melanoleuca (giant panda). It matches the Rfam family "tRNA". Rfam says of the family: Transfer RNA (tRNA) molecules are approximately 80 nucleotides in length. Their secondary structure includes four short double-helical elements and three loops (D, anti-codon, and T loops). Lineage: Eukaryota; Metazoa; Chordata; Mammalia; Carnivora; Ursidae. The record is from Rfam by way of RNAcentral.